Molecule: ribosomal RNA, 394 nt
Filed under: uncultured bacterium
Lineage: Bacteria
Description: partial 16S ribosomal RNA
Rfam family: Bacterial small subunit ribosomal RNA
Source: RNAcentral
AUACGUAGGGUGCUAGCGUUAUCCGGAUUUACUGGGCGUAAAGGGUGCGUAGGUGGUCUUUCAAGUCGGUGGUUAAAGGCUACGGCUCAACCGUAUUAAGCCGCCGAAACUGGAAGACUUGAGUGCAGGAGAGGAAAGUGGAAUUCUCAGUGUAGCGGUGAAAUGCGUAGAUAUUGAGAAGAACACCAGUAGCGAAGGCGGCUUUCUGGACUGUAACUGACACUGAGGCACGAAAGCGUGGGUAGCAAACAGGAUUAGAUACCCUGGUAGUCCACGCCGUAAACGAUGAGUAUUAGGUGUCGGGGGUUACCCCCCUCGGUGCCGCAGUUAACGCAUUAAAUACUCCGCCUGGGGAGUACGCACGCAAGUGUGAAACUUAAAGGAAUGGACGGGG